RNAcentral lists this long non-coding RNA (6630 nucleotides) under Gossypium barbadense (sea-island cotton). Its description in RNAcentral is "long non-coding RNA (GBAR_LNC011712)". Lineage: Eukaryota; Viridiplantae; Streptophyta; Magnoliopsida; Malvales; Malvaceae. The record is from RNAcentral.
AAAUUCUCAUAAAAUAAUAUUAAAAAAAUCAAUUAAGCCUUACACCUUAUCAUUUUUUCAUGUCAAUUGCUAAAUCAGUACUUAAUGGCCCAUCAGGGGCUUCAAUGGAGAAAAUGACGUCAAUGGGCUUAAUUAUGUAUUCAAAACCAUUAUUCAAAUGGCUCAAUUGGAUGCACUUUUAGAUGAGAGACUUAAUUGAUUUUUAAAUUAUUUUUAGAGAACUUAUUUGACAUUUUAACUUGGAUCUUGUAAUGUGUAAAUUUUUAUUUAUUAUAAAAGAUAAAAAUAUUCUCAUAAUAAUAUAAUUUAUUUUAGAAAAAAAAUUUUUUAAUAAUUUCUUAAAUGAGUUGAGAUGAGCGAUACAAACUCAAUUUAAAUAAAUUAUUAUAACAAAGAUAUACAUUUCUUUAUCUUAUUGGUGGCACACCAAAGGUAUAGUUAGACCAUAUAGAAUUUGCCAAGCACACUAAAAUAUGUUGAAAUGAAGGUGUUAAAGUUAAAUGGACCAUAGGAGGUUGGUUUAUAAUGAUGUGCCAUCAAACAGACAUUUUGUCAACCCAUUGAGGGGUUGACUUACCUGUUCUUAAAAAAUAGAUUUUUUAAAACCUACCAACAUUCCAACAUUAGCAAAGUUGACUUCACCUACACCCCACGUGACCAUAUAUAUUGAAAGUCGAAACGAAAAGAGGCAAAAGAGGCCUAUCAUUAGCCAAGCCCUCUCUUAUAUCAACUAAACUGGUGCCAACAUUAUAUAUAACGUUUACACCAUAUUUAAUUAUUUUGUUCUAAGUCAUUUUUAUCUAAACUUUUCAGGUCAUACAUGUUGUCGAAACUUUUUUUAUCGGUCGACUUUUUAUCUAAAAAAUGAAAAUGGCGCAACUUUGACUUCUUAUUAAUAAAAAAAUUAUUAAAGUAACCCUAGCCAAGAAUGCUUUGCUUAGUAUCCUAGAGAGAACAAUUUUUUCUGUGGCUUAGGAUGGAGGAGAGUGGUGGCGCAGAGGGUUUUGAAGGAGACAAGAUCUCCCUAUUGGUAGAGGAACUUGUCCAAUUAUCAGUAAAAAGCUCGGUGUGGUACCAAGCGAAAAACCAACCCUAUUAUGCACAAUAUGGACGAAGAAAUCUUAUAAUCCAGAUAGCUUCAGGGCACAAAUCAAAAGUAUUUGGAAGACAAGGAAGAAAUUCGAGAUUAAAUUGGCAGGACAAAAUCUUUUUUUGAUAAUGUUUAAGAGUGAAGAAGAUCUAGAAUUAGUUAUGGCGGGGCAACCAUAGCUGUUUCGGAAAAAUUUAGUAAUUUUUGAUAGGUUGACUAGAUCGAUGGAAAGAAGUCAAAUCUGACUUAAUUGAUCACUGUUUUGGAUUAAGAUUGGACCAUGUUCACCAGAAUUUGAUAAAAAAAGAUCUGAUGCAUGCUAUUGGCGUUACUUUUGGAGGUGUUUUGAGAUCUGAAAUUAAUGGAGAAUUCUGUCGGCUAAGAAUCAAAUUAGAUGUGCAAAAACCCUUGCGAAGGGGUAUUUUUGUCUCAACAGAAAAUCAAAGUAAGUCUUGGAUUUCUUUUAAAAUAUGAAAAUUUACCUACAUUCUGUUUUGGUUGUGGAAAGACGGGGCAUGGGCUCAUAGACUACCAAGAGUUUACACCUGUAGAAAGAAACAAAGUCAGAAUUGAUCCUCCUUUUUCUUUAGCUUUAAAAGCAGAAUUAAAUUUAGUUGGAAGAGAGAGUCUAAUGUUUAAAGCCAACUCAAAGAAGAUGCAGCCUCAAUGUUCAUACGUAGGUAAUACUGAGAAUUUUACUGAAUUAAAUCUAGAAGUUGAUGGAAAAAGUGUUAUAUCCCAAGCUAAUUCACAAUGUACAGAAAAAGAGAUAGCGUUAAAGCUGUAGGAGGAUAAAAUGGAUAUAGAAGAUAAGGCUAUCGGGGCAUCUAAUAAUUCUACAAGAACUUUGAAUCCAGCCAAAAAAUUGAGUUGGAAGUGAAUCAAGGUAGAAAGAAGGGUGGAUUCUUACAACGAUGAAAGUAGACUAAGAAAAAGAAAAUCAGAAGAGUGUGCUUUUGAAAAAGAUGAUUCAAAAAUCUCUUGUGAAGAUGAAACAAAGAGAAUGAAGUACAAGGGCAAAUAAUUUCAAACAGGAGAAUAUACAAUUUUGUCGGCUGAAUAUUUCCCACAGGAAUAUGAUUUUCACCAAUAUAGAUCGGCGGGUGCCAAAAGGCAUACUGACCGGGCACAAUGAAAACUAUAUGUUGAAAUGUCCGUGGAUUGGGGAGUCUACAAGCAACACGAAGGCUUUGGUAUUUGCUGAAGCAAGAUAAGCCCCAAAUGGUCUUCUUUAUGGAGACUAAAAUUGAUGAAAAGCGCAUGGAAAAAAUUAGAAGGAGAUGUGGUUUCGAGAAUGGAACUAAUGUAGGAACAGAAGGGUCUAGAGGUGGAAUUUGUAUGGCGUGGAAAACAGGAACUAAUGUAACUCUUAAAAAUUUCUCAAGAAGCCAUAUUGAUGUAAUGGUAAAGGAGGAAAAUAUCAAUGAAGAGUGACGGUUUACAGGAUUUUAUGGAUCACCUUAUGUUCAUGAUAAGAAUGCCUCGUGGAAUUUAUUAAAGCAAUUGGGUAAAGAUCAAAAUCACCCAUGACUGGUAUGUGGUGAUUUUAACGAAAUAAUGUAUUCUUAUGAGAAAAACAAUGGUCUAUCGGGGGAAGAAAAAAGAAUGGAAGCUUUUCGCGAAGUUCUAAAUGAAUGUCAGUUAAUGGACGUGGGUUACAUGGGGGUUUGGUUCAUAUGGGAGAGAGGAAACUUACCGGGAACAAAUAUUAAAGAAAGGCUGGAUAGAGGCAUGACGAAUGAGAAGUGGAUGCAACUUUUUCCAAGUGGAACUAUUCAUCAUUUUACACACUCAAUUUCAGAUCAUUGCCCCUUACUUAUAAAUACUAAUAAGGGAAAAAUCAAUAAAGGAAUCUCAAGUUUCAAAUUCGAGGCAUGGUGGACUUUGGAGGAAUCCAUUGAACAAGAGAUUAAAAAAGCGUGGGAGUUUUCAGAUGGAUCUAUAUGCGAAAAACGAGAGGCUACAAUUCAGAUUGGUGAAUUGGGCGAGCGUAAUAAAGAGGGACUGAGAUGGUUUAAAGAAUAGGCUCACAAAGGAACUUGAAGAACUACUUGAAAGCGAUAGAGAUGAUGCCACAAUGGCAAAGCUGAUUGAUAUUAGAAUUCGACUCAAAAUGGAAAUUGAAAAAGACGAAAUGUACUGGGAACAAAGGGCACGAGCUAAUUGGCUCCAAUUAGAGGAUAAGAACUCAGUAUUUUUUCACAAGUAUGCCUUAGUACGUAAACGAAUUAAUACUAUUACUACGCUGGAAGCUGAUGGAGGUCAUGAAAUUACUGAUGAGUCAGCAAUUAAUGAGGCUAUUCAAAUUAUUUUCAAAAUUUAUUCACAUCGAAGUGAGUAGGGAAUUUAUCCCAUCUGCUAGAGGGUGUUAAGACUAAUAUUUCAUCCGACAUAAAUGAAGAUUUGCUAGUACCAUUUAAAGUAGAAGAGGUUUUUUCAGCUUUGAAAGGAAUGGGGCCUACUAAAGCGCCAAGUUGUGAUGGUUUUCCAGCAUUAUUUUUUCAGAGAUUCUGGCAUAUUGUAGGUAAGAAUGUUGAGAAAUUUUGCUUGGGAAUUCUGAAUGAUGGAAAAAUUUUUGAUUCUCUAAAUCUUACUGAUAUUGUACUUAUUCCAAAACUACCAAAACCCACAAGUCUAGCUAAUUUCAGACCCAUCUGCCUAUGCACAGUUUUACACAAAAUUGUGGCAAAAACAAUUGCAAAUCGGUUUCAGGAGGUCAUUAGAAGAAGUAUAAGGCCCAAAGUACUUUUGUUCUAGGAAGAUUAAUUACUGAUAACGUGCUAGUAGCUUACGAAAUCUUACACACGUUACGACAGAAACGAAUCGAAAAAAAAAGGGCUUAUGGUAGUUAAAUAAGAUAUGAGCAAAGCCUAUGAUAGAGUCGAAUGGUUUUUUUUUAAAGGAAGUUAUACUGAGAAUGGGUUAUGCAAAGGAAUGGGUGUCAUUGAUUAUGAAAUGCAUAUCCACAGUAUCUUACACAGUCAACAUUAAUGAAAGAAGAUGAAGGGUUUUUAAACCCACUUGAGAGCUCCGUCAGGGUGAUCCACUUAGUCAUUUUCUCUUUCUAAUAUGCAGUGAGGGACUCUCGUCUUUCAUAAGAAUAGCGACAACUGACGGUCUACUUAAAGGAGUAAGAGCAAGUCGAAGAGGGCCAGCGAUUUCCUAUCUACUGUUCGCAGACGAUUGUAUUUUGUUUGGCCAAGCGACAAAUAGAGGAGCAAGAAUAUUAAAAGGAAUUUUGGAAGAAUAUGAACAGUGCUCAGGACAAUGCGUGAAUUUUAACAAGUCAACGAUUUUCUACAGCUCAAAACAACAAAAAGGGACAAAGAAGAGGUAUCAAUAAUAUUAAGGGUAAGAUGCUCCACAAAUUUGGAAAAAUAUCUUGGCCUCCCUAAUGUGGUAGGCAGAAGGAAAAAUGAAGCUUUCCAGAAUCUAAAGGAUAAACUUAAUUCAAAGAUUGAUAGUUGGAGCACAAGACUACUGUCAUAAGGGGGUAAGGAGGUUUUUAUCAAGUCAGUGCUUCAAGCAAUUCCAGCUUAUGCUAUGUCAUGUUUUCUCCUACCAAAAUCUUUUUAUGGGGAGCUGGAAAAUAUUUUCGCUAAAUUCUGGUGACAAAAAGGGCAGGGAAGAAAAGGAAUACCCUGGUGUCAAUGGAGAUAUAUGUGCUGAUCAAAAGAAGAAGGGGGUACGGGUUUUAGAAAUCUGUUGCAAUUUAAUAUCUCACUACUAGCAAAGCAAGGAUGGAGGAUCAUAAUAAUCAGGAUUCGUUGGUUACGCAAGUUUUUAAAAUAAAAUAUUUUCCCAAUGAGUAUUUUUUAAAUUCUUGAUUUGGAAAAACUAGCUCUUAUAUUUGGAAAAGCAUAUGGGCAGCAAGAGGUAUUUUAGAAAAAGGUAUAUGCUGGAGGGUUGGCACAGGUUCAAACAUUUCUAUUAAUGAUGAUGCGUGGAUUCCAGAUACUGUUAAUUUUAGAUUAUCUUCAGUUGUUAAUACUAUGCGAGAUGCAAAGGUUAGUGAGCUGAUAAAUAGGAAUGCGAGAAUAUAGGAUAGAGAACUCAUCAAUAAUACCUUUUCAACGACCGAUGCUGGGAAAAUCCUCCAGAUACCUUUAGCACGCACACCUCAUGAAGAUCUGCUUGUAUGGGGAGGUGAACAUUCAGGGGAAUUCUCGGUACACAGCGCCUAUAAACUAUUACAAAAAUCUAAUGAAAUUCCAAGAGCUUAUCCUUUACAAACCAACUACGGGAACUUUUAUAAGAAAUUAUGGCGCCUAAAUCUACCGACUAAAAUAAAGAUUAUAGUAUGGAGAAUUUUUUGGAACUAUUUUCCUAAGAAGGUUAAUAUGCAACACUGGAAACUUGUUAGUUCAAACUAUCCCUGAAGUGGAAAAAGAAAUGAAACAAUCGAUCAUAUCUUCCGAGAAUGUCUUGUCACAGUGGAAGUUUGGGCACUAUGAAAACUUCAAAAUAUUCUUAUGAAUCCAAACAUGGAUUUUUUUAUAGUGGAUUACCUGAGACUUUGGAUAGUUCACUACAUGCUAGAAUAUACUUUUCUACUGUAGUCUCUGGGCUAUCUAGGGCGAAAGAAAUAAAAGAAAAAUGAGCAAAGAAUUAGUACAGGUCAAGAAAUAAUGAACUUCAUCAAUAAUUAUCUUGCUGAACUUAAUGGUCUUGAUAAGAUGAAGUCAAAAAGAGAGAAGAAAAAUAAAAGAUGGACCCAUCCACCUAAUGAGUUCGUCAAAAUUAAUUUUGAUGGUGCCUAUGAUUUGACUCAUGAAUAAUCUGCCUCAGGAAUAGUAACCAGAAAUAAAGAAGGAGCUGUUUUACUCACUUGCUCAGAGGUUCACCACGAAGCAACUUCUGCCUUUACAGCUGAAGCAAUCGCGUGUAGAAAAGCGGUCCAAAUAGCAGUCGAACAGGAAUGGCCGAAAAUUAUUAUAGAAGGUGAUUCCCUCACAAUAAUAAAGAAAUGUUUAUCAAAGAGUCAAGAUCGAUCAUGUAUUGAAGCAUAUAUAUAUAUGAUAUUAAGCAGAAACUAAAUAGAUCUAGGGGUUCAAUGUUAAAACACACACCAAGAUUGGCAAAUGCUCUCGCGCAUAUAGUGGCAACAGAGUUGCUGAAAAGGAAAUAAGAACUGUACCUGGUAAUGGAAGUCCCAGAAUAUGCUAAAGAACAAAGACAGAUCGACCGAAGAAGGGAACUAGAUUGAGGAGAGAAUGAAGAAGAAAAGAAUAAGAGGAAAGAAAAAGAAAGAAGAUGCAUCAGUUUGAAAAGAACAUCUUUCCAUAAAAAUUGAACCGUCAAAAGCAAAGAAAAGAAAUGAAGUCUCCAGAUGAAUAGACAGGGUUCAGAAGUUCUGUUUGGGCAUUAAUUAGGCGUAAUAAUUAUGAAUCUCUAGACUGUUUCGAUUAAAAUAUCUAGAUUUUCUUAGCUUUUUGGGCUCCUUUGUAUUGGGUCGUUUUAGUAGAUUAGCUUUGCUUAGCUGUUUUCACUGUUAGGUUUUGUAAUUCAUUUUCCAAUAAUAAGCCCAGUCUGAAAGUUUC